RNAcentral lists this ribosomal RNA (460 nucleotides) under uncultured bacterium. RNAcentral describes it as "partial 16S ribosomal RNA". It matches the Rfam family "Bacterial small subunit ribosomal RNA", at positions 338 to 795 of the family's 1533-position model. The record is from RNAcentral.
CCUACGGGUGGCAGCAGUGAGGAAUAUUGGUCAAUGGGAGGAAUCCUGAACCAGCCAUGCCGCGUGCAGGACGACGGCUCUACGAGUUGUAAACUGCUUUUGUACCGGGGUAAAAUGCCUUACGUGUAGGGUUUUGAAAGUACGGUACGAAUAAGGAUCGGCUAACUCCGUGCCAGCAGUCGCGGUAAUACGGAGGAUCCGAGCGUUAUCCGGAUUUAUUGGGUUUAAAGGGUGCGUAGGUUGUUUUAUAAGUUAGCGGUGAAAUACCGAUGCUCAACAUCGAGGCUGCCGCUAAUACUGGAGGACUAGAGAUCAGAUGCGGCAGGCGGAAUGUGUGGUGUAGCGGUGAAAUGCAUAGAUAUUACACAGAACACCGAUUGCGAAGGCAGCUUGCUAGGCCGGAUCUGACGCUGAUGCACGAAAGCGUGGGGAUCGAACAGGAUUAGAUACCCUAGUAGUC